AACGCACAUUGCGCCCGCCAGUAUUCUGGCGGGCAUGCCUGUUCGAGCGUCAUUUCAACCCUCGGACCCCCGUGGCCUCGCGCCCCGGGGGACCGGUGUUGGGGAUCGGGCUGCCCUCGUAGGCGGUCCGCCCCCUAAAUACAGUGGCGGGCCCGCCGCGGCCUCCCCUGCGUAGUAGCACACCUCGCAGGCGGAGCGCGGCGCGUCCCAGCCGUAAAACCCCCCAAAUUUUACAAGGUUGACCUCGAAUCAGGUAGGAAUACCCGCUGAACUUAA
RNAcentral lists this unclassified non-coding RNA (276 nucleotides) under uncultured fungus. RNAcentral's name for it is "partial contains 5.8S ribosomal RNA, internal transcribed spacer 2, and large subunit ribosomal RNA". The stretch from base 1 to 52 matches the Rfam family "5.8S ribosomal RNA", at positions 103 to 154 of the family's 154-position model. The record is from RNAcentral. Lineage: Eukaryota; Fungi.